AACGACUCCUCUCUGCCUCUCUUCCUAACAAGUGGUGGGGGUUUUCUCCCAUUUACGAGCCCAUUGCAUUUUUCCUCUCCUCCCCUCUACUCAACUAUUUUGCUUGAAGUGUCGUGAGCAGGUGCAACAUGUAAACUCAUGAAGGGAGGCAUACACUAGCAGUUGUGAGACUCCUCCCAAGGGGUGAGUGCAGGAAGACACCAGGAGGGAGGCGGAGCCUCUGGAGAUCUUUCUGGAACCCAAACCACCCUAACUGGAGCCAGAAGGUCUGUCAAUUCCCAGAGAGCAGCAAGGAAAUGGUAAGUAAAUGGCAGCAGUUGCCUAGAGAAUUAGGGAAUGAAUAACAAUGCUUUCUGGUAAAUUAACCAUAUUACAUUGUGCACAGCAAAGUGAUGGAAGAACCCAGUUAAAAAUUGAAUAAUAAUUUUCCCACAUCAUUUAUGUAAAAUGCAUAAUUUUCCUACUUCAGUGGACUUUGGUUUGAUUUAAAAUAUGAACCGCUCUAGUACUGUUCACCAAAGCAUAAUUUGUGAGAUAAUUGGGAAGGGGAGGAGAAAUCAGGCUGUAAUCAGCACAAUCCUGUGUGAGCCACUUCACCUCCCUCCCGUCCCCUGCAAAUUUCGGAAAUUGUUUGUCGAUAGGUUGAAGGUCUCUAUGUGAAAGUGUGAGGCAUCAAUCAUUGUCGUUGCUAUCACUAAACCAUGACCUCACCGUGUGCAAGAGGGGAAAGCAAGGCUUCCCUCUAGUCAGUCUUUUUCUGCUCUAAUUCAAAUAAGUACUUGUUUUUGAAUAGUAGGGAAAAUGGAAAUGUUGCCAUGCUUAAAACAGCAAGCCGAGAACAAAAGAAACGUGCAAGCAGCGGAAGGAGACCUUGGAAGAUGCGUAGAUAGAACAAAAAACUGCGCUUGGCCAGGAUUCUGUUUCAGAAUCAAAUGCAAAAUGAAGAACGUUGUUCCAACUAUAACGAUUUUGCCACCUACGAUCUCUGAAAUGAAAAGUCGUCAUGGAAUCCACGUUGACAUUCAAAAGCUGUGCUCUUGCGAUGAGUGAUGGUGUUUGUCCGUGACUGAUGUAGGCUUCAGAACCAGAGCUGUCGGCGGUGGGGUGGAAUUCCACAGGUGAACCAGCCACCCUUCACUUCGACGCUGCCCUCCCGGGUCAGUCACUGUUGCUUUUCCUCGCUCUCCUCCUUCCCCCAUCCUUCACCCCUGCUCCCCACCCCCACGAGAACUAUAGAGUUUUCAUUAGAUAUUCAGUCAUUCUCUUCAUCCUCGUCUCUCCACAAAGGGCCAUUAUUUACUUACUAAAGUUAGCCCUUAGAUUUUUGACCUUUCAGGGCAAAUCUGUGGCUGAUUCUGUCUGCUUCUCUUUGUUGUCCUAAUCCUGCCUCCUCUGUAACCCUGCUGGCCCCACGAGGCUGAACCUUGAACCCCAUAAAUCUCCAUACUUCUCUCUCGGGUGCCCAUUUUGGUUGGCCAAAGGGGCCUUCCCAAGUCUUAAUACUCUUCCCCACUCUUUCCUUCUCUCCCUCCUACCCCUGCCACUAGCCUAAGAUUUAUCUGACACUAGGUUUUUCCCUAUGCCUCCUGCCACUAGCUAGAAAUUGCCUUUUUGCAAAUUGGAAAAAGCUAUCCUACCUCAAGACACUUUGCUGCCAUCAGCCAGAAAAUUAUUGUAAUAGAUAUGCCAAGAGAUGAUGUGAAUGGUGCCCCCUAGAAUUGUGCAGUACACAACUGGCACCGCGGUAUGAGACAACGCUGUAGUUGGAAACCACCUGAGUUACCUUGGAAGUCUGUAAAACUCAGAGCCACGGUAGGUCAGUCUUGCCUUUUUAUGACAGUUUGCAAUUUCAAAAUCUAAACCUUUCAGCCUUGAUCACAAAUUGCUGAGGGGCAGUUUCUGGAAGAGACAAAGAGCCCCUAGGCAGCAGUACUUAUAAGAGUAAAGGGCUCUUUAGUCAGCCCUAGAUUUGGCCUGCUGGCUGAGCAGAUGCAGCCCAAACCACACUGGGUAGAAUAGUAGGGGAAAUGGAAAUGUAGCAGAGCACCAUUAGAAUCUCGUAAGUCUGAGUGUUGGGGGUACCGGGGAGCAGGGUACUUGUAUUAGGUCAACCAUGACCCCUCCUCGGCCUUGGCUGCUUCGUUUCUUGUUGCUUGCCCCAUCUGUUCCCCUCCCCCCACCCCCUUCACAUUCCGCACAACCUGCACGUUCUGGUGAUCUUUUGCUGCAAAACAAGCCACCCCAAAAUUUAUUAGUGGAAACAGAAACAGACGUUUAUUUUGCUCACAAGUCUGCGAUUUGGGCAUGGCUCCCAGGGGCCUCUCUGCUCCCCACGGUGUCACCAGGGCAACUCAGAUGUGGCUGGAGGAGCCGCUUUUACCAUGGGGGCUCACAUGGCUGGUCAGUAGAUGCUGGCUGCUGCCCAGGAGCUCAGCUGGGGCUUGGGUUCCUCUGCACCUGGGCUCCCAGGUGGCCGUGUGGGCUUGCUCACAUGGCGGAGCCCAUGUCAAGCCACCAAGUGAACAACCCCAGCUGACUCUUCACGGAGCAGAGGAAAGCUGCCCCUACCAAGCCCUGCCCACUUUUCAAAUUUCUGAGUGAAAUAAAUGUCUAUGGUUUUAAGCCACUAAGUUUGGGAUGGUUCAUUUUGCAGCCAUGGAUCACCAGAAUGUAUAGGCUGGGCUGAAUGUGGUGUGAAUCCGUUCCCACAUUUCUCUAGGAUGCCUCCUGAUGCUGCAGAGUUGAGGAAGCUAAAAACUACAUUUCCCAGACUCCCUUCCCAUUAGGAUCAUGAGGAUCAAUUACGCUAUUACCAAUUAGACUUAUUUGCACAAAGUUCAGAAGGCAGAAGUGAGGUGGAAGCCAGUUUCUUACAGCUUUUGACUGUUUUCUGCUGGAAAGCAAGAUCAUGGAGCCACUGAUGCCCAGUCUCCAGCUUCAUGAGUGUCAAGAGUCUGUUGUGGAGGUGGCAGUGGCUAGACACCACCUCCCAACAAGCAGGCAGACACGGUGGCGGCAGCAGUGGCAUGCUCUUCUAGGCUUUCUGACCUCUUUCUGACCAUUGUAUUGCAGCCACGGUGUUCUUAAGGGCAACAGUUCCCGUGGCAGCUUCUCAAGUCCCACCUUCCUGAUUGUGGCAGAGGUGGCAGCUCUCCUGGCUGAUUGAUUCUGCCACAUUCUGAGAGUCAUCCCCGGAGGACCAGCGUAAAGCCCUCUCUCCCAGCUCUUCCACCAAGUCUGUAAUUCCCCAUAUUAAACCUUUUUUUGCUUAAAAAACCUAGUAUGGUUUCUGUUUCCUACAUUGAACCUUGCAGCUGAUACUCGAUGAUCCCCUAAGUUCUGUCC
RNAcentral lists this long non-coding RNA (3345 nucleotides) under Equus asinus (donkey). RNAcentral's name for it is "lncRNA (ENSEASG00005032602.1)". Lineage: Eukaryota; Metazoa; Chordata; Mammalia; Perissodactyla; Equidae. The record is from RNAcentral.